GGGUGUGAGAGUGAUCUCACUGCAGCAUCCUUCACCCUGUCCAUCACCAGGCUACAUUUGACUAAUCUGGCUGCCCAGCGGGGGUUAUCCCCUUCCUCCUGCACUGCUCCAUGUGUCUCCACUGAAGCUGGGCUCUUGAUUGAAAAGGACGAACUUCUCUGAAUAGAAAUGAGUUAUUUGUUUGUGGGGAUAUGAGUAGCUGGAACCUCCAAACAAGCUCUCUGGAAAACAAUCAAGCACGAGCAUUCAAUGUGUGCGGCUUUGGGUU
Molecule: small nuclear RNA, 268 nt
Filed under: Sorex araneus (European shrew)
Lineage: Eukaryota; Metazoa; Chordata; Mammalia; Eulipotyphla; Soricidae
Description: 7SK RNA (ENSSARG00000018559.1)
Rfam family: 7SK RNA
About the family: 7SK was discovered as an abundant small nuclear RNA in the mid-70s but a possible function has only recently been suggested. Two independent studies have found that 7SK RNA binds the CDK9/cyclin T complex (known as elongation factor P-TEFb). P-TEFb activates transcription by phosphorylating the C-terminal domain of RNA polymerase II.
Source: RNAcentral